RNAcentral lists this transfer RNA (73 nucleotides) under Camelus bactrianus (Bactrian camel). It matches the Rfam family "tRNA". From Rfam's summary of the family: Transfer RNA (tRNA) molecules are approximately 80 nucleotides in length. Their secondary structure includes four short double-helical elements and three loops (D, anti-codon, and T loops). Further hydrogen bonds mediate the characteristic L-shaped molecular structure. tRNAs have two regions of fundamental functional importance: the anti-codon, which is responsible for specific mRNA codon recognition, and the 3' end, to which the tRNAs corresponding amino acid is attached (by aminoacyl-tRNA synthetases). tRNAs cope with the degeneracy of the genetic code in two manners: having more than one tRNA (with a specific anti-codon) for a particular amino acid; and 'wobble' base-pairing, i.e. permitting non-standard base-pairing at the 3rd anti-codon position. RNAcentral also lists the same sequence under 2 other names. The record is from Rfam by way of RNAcentral. Lineage: Eukaryota; Metazoa; Chordata; Mammalia; Artiodactyla; Camelidae.
GAGGGUAUAGCUCAAGUGGUAGAGCACAUGCUUAGCAUGCACGAGGUCCUGGGUUCAAUCCCUAGUACCUCCU